RNAcentral lists this long non-coding RNA (554 nucleotides) under Androctonus crassicauda. The record is from RNAcentral. Lineage: Eukaryota; Metazoa; Arthropoda; Arachnida; Scorpiones; Buthidae.
AGCUUAUUGUAUUUUUUAUAUGUAAUAUGAGCUGUCUAUACGAAAAUAAGAAAAAUUAACAUCUCAUUUUGUAUAAAGAUAAAUAUGAAAUAAGAUUUUAUCUGCAUGCUUGAUGUUUAACAAUUUGACAAUGCAAAAACUUAUAAUUUCUAUUUCUAUAAGCAAUUCAUUAAUAUUUGUAAGAAAGGUGAUCAGUGGCCAGAAAUUUCAGGAAAAGUGGGAAUUAUGCAUGAAUUUUGUCUACUGGAGAAAAGUCAGAAAUUAUAUGUGGGUUUUUCUUAAAACAUUUCUUUCAUUUGAAAAAUCACAAGAAAAAUUUCAUCAUAUUGGUGAUCAGCCAAAUGAUGAUAUAGUCUAAUAGCAAAGCUACUUCUUGAGGUUCGAGACAAUCCAAGGCUACUACUUCAUCAGGCUCCUAACUUCUGACCAUUACAGUACUAAUUAUCACUAGAACCAGCUGAACAAUUUUUCAAAAAAGCAAUUGAAAAAUUAAUAGACAACUGGAUUAUUGUAAAUAAUAAAAUAGAAUACAUAAUUUAUUAAAAAUAAAAAUU